GCACCGUUCGACUUCUGGUGAGGUCACUGGGCUUUCAAUCCAGUCAGAGGAGAUCGUAACUCCUACGGUGUACCA
Molecule: transfer RNA, 75 nt
Filed under: Chitinimonas prasina
Lineage: Bacteria; Pseudomonadati; Pseudomonadota; Betaproteobacteria; Neisseriales; Chitinibacteraceae
Description: tRNA-Glu
Source: RNAcentral